GAGGGUAUAGCUUAGUGGUAGAGUGUGUGCUUAGCAUGCACAAGGUCCUGGAUUCAAUCCCCAGGACCUCCA
This 72-nucleotide transfer RNA is filed under the name Camelus bactrianus (Bactrian camel). It matches the Rfam family "tRNA". From Rfam's summary of the family: Transfer RNA (tRNA) molecules are approximately 80 nucleotides in length. Their secondary structure includes four short double-helical elements and three loops (D, anti-codon, and T loops). Further hydrogen bonds mediate the characteristic L-shaped molecular structure. tRNAs have two regions of fundamental functional importance: the anti-codon, which is responsible for specific mRNA codon recognition, and the 3' end, to which the tRNAs corresponding amino acid is attached (by aminoacyl-tRNA synthetases). tRNAs cope with the degeneracy of the genetic code in two manners: having more than one tRNA (with a specific anti-codon) for a particular amino acid; and 'wobble' base-pairing, i.e. permitting non-standard base-pairing at the 3rd anti-codon position. RNAcentral also lists the same sequence under 2 other names. The record is from Rfam by way of RNAcentral. Lineage: Eukaryota; Metazoa; Chordata; Mammalia; Artiodactyla; Camelidae.